Molecule: non-coding RNA, 22 nt
Filed under: Mus musculus (house mouse)
Lineage: Eukaryota; Metazoa; Chordata; Mammalia; Rodentia; Muridae
Source: RNAcentral
UAAGCAACCAACAACCACCUCA